Molecule: ribosomal RNA, 614 nt
Filed under: Merluccius gayi gayi
Lineage: Eukaryota; Metazoa; Chordata; Actinopteri; Gadiformes; Merlucciidae
Description: partial 16S ribosomal RNA
Rfam family: Bacterial large subunit ribosomal RNA
Source: RNAcentral
CGCCUGUUUAUCAAAAACAUCGCCUCUUGUCCCCAAAAUAUAAGAGGUCCCGCCUGCCCUGUGACUAUAUGUUUAACGGCCGCGGUAUCUUAACCGUGCGAAGGUAGCGUAAUCACUUGUCUUUUAAAUGAAGACCUGUAUGAAUGGCAUCACGAGGGCUUAACUGUCUCCCCUCUCCAGUCAAUGAAAUUGACCUCCCCGUGCAGAGGCGGGGAUAUUUCUAUAAGACGAGAAGACCCUGUGGAGCUUUAGACCUAAAGUAAACCACGUUUAAUGUACUAAAAUUAAUAGCAAAAACUUAGUGGACAUUUAUUUAAGUGUCUUUGGUUGGGGCGACCGCGGAGUAAAACACAACCUCCAUGUGGACGGGGAUACUUUCCCUAAAACUCAGAGCCUCCACUCCAAGCAACAGAAAUUCUGACCUUACUGAUCCGGUACAACCGAUUAACGAACCCAGUUACCCCAGGGAUAACAGCGCAAUCCCCUCUCAGAGCUCAUAUCGACGAGGGGGUUUACGACCUCGAUGUUGGAUCAGGACAUCCUAGUGGUGCAGCCGCUAUUGAGGGUUCGUUUGUUCAACGAUUAAAGUCCUACGUGAUCUGAGUUCAGACCGG